GCAUGCUUAGCUCAGUGGUUAGAGCAUCCGCCUAGUGUUUGGAGGUUGCAGGUUACGUUGCACGUUCAAAUCCUGCAGUGUGUA
RNAcentral lists this transfer RNA (84 nucleotides) under Cronartium ribicola 11-2. RNAcentral's name for it is "tRNA-Thr (AGT) (tRNA-Thr-AGT-63-1)". It matches the Rfam family "tRNA". From Rfam's summary of the family: Transfer RNA (tRNA) molecules are approximately 80 nucleotides in length. The record is from RNAcentral. Lineage: Eukaryota; Fungi; Basidiomycota; Pucciniomycetes; Pucciniales; Coleosporiaceae.